This 428-nucleotide ribosomal RNA is filed under the name uncultured bacterium. RNAcentral's name for it is "bacterial SSU rRNA". It matches the Rfam family "Bacterial small subunit ribosomal RNA", at positions 355 to 776 of the family's 1533-position model. The record is from RNAcentral.
UCGAGAAUUUUUCACAAUGGGGGAAACCCUGAUGGAGCGACGCCGCGUGGGGGAUGAAUGGCUUCGGCCCGUAAACCCCUGUCAUUUGCGAGCAAAGCGCAUUAUUUAAAAGAUGAUGUGUUGAUAGUAGCGGAAGAGGAAGGGACGGCUAACUCUGUGCCAGCAGCCGCGGUAAUACAGAGGUCCCGAGCGUUGUUCGGAUUCACUGGGCGUAAAGGGUGCGUAGGUGGUGAGGUGUGUCGGAUGUGAAAUCUCGGAGCUCAACUCCGAAACUGCAUUGGAAACUACCUUGCUGGAGGGUUGGAGGGGGGACUGGAAUACUUGGUGUAGCAGUGAAAUGCGUAGAUAUCAAGUGGAACACCAGUGGCGAAGGCGAGUCCCUGGACAACUCCUGACACUGAGGCACGAAAGCUAGGGGAGCAAACAGG